Molecule: non-coding RNA, 74 nt
Organism: Phytophthora nicotianae INRA-310
Lineage: Eukaryota; Oomycota; Peronosporomycetes; Peronosporales; Peronosporaceae
Source: the annotation of a RefSeq genome assembly
GACCAACUAGUUCAGUGGUCGAGCGCUCGCUUCAAAAGCGUGAAGCUCGUGGUUCGAUUCCACCCUCGAGGACU